UACGUAGGGUCCGAGCGUUGUCCGGAAUUAUUGGGCGUAAAGGGCUCGUAGGCGGUUUGUCACGUCGGGCGUGAAAACUCAGGGCUCAACCCUGAGCGUGCGUUCGAUACGGGCAGACUAGAGGUAUGCAGGGGAGAACGGAAUUCCUGGUGUAGCGGUGGAAUGCGCAGAUAUCAGGAGGAACACCGGUGGCGAAGGCGGUUCUCUGGGCAUUACCUGACGCUGAGACGCGAAAGCGUGGGGAGCAAACAGG
This 253-nucleotide ribosomal RNA is filed under the name uncultured bacterium. RNAcentral's name for it is "partial 16S ribosomal RNA". It matches the Rfam family "Bacterial small subunit ribosomal RNA", at positions 524 to 776 of the family's 1533-position model. The record is from RNAcentral.